This 119-nucleotide ribosomal RNA is filed under the name Pteropus alecto (black flying fox). Lineage: Eukaryota; Metazoa; Chordata; Mammalia; Chiroptera; Pteropodidae. The record is from RNAcentral.
GUCUAUGGCCAUGCUACCUUGAACAAGCCCGAUCCCUUCUGAUCUUGGAAGCUAAGCAAGGUCGGCCCGGGUUAGUACUUAGAUGGGAAACCACUUAGGAAGACCAGGUACUGUAGGCG